Molecule: ribosomal RNA, 253 nt
Filed under: uncultured bacterium
Lineage: Bacteria
Description: partial 16S ribosomal RNA
Rfam family: Bacterial small subunit ribosomal RNA
Source: RNAcentral
UACGUAGGGUGCGAGCGUUAAUCGGAAUUACUGGGCGUAAAGGGCUCGUAGGUGGCCAACUAAGUCAGACGUGAAAUCCCUCGGCUUAACCGGGGAACUGCGUCUGAUACUGGAUGGCUUGAGUUCGGGAGAGGGAUGCGGAAUUCCAGGUGUAGCGGUGAAAUGCGUAGAUAUCUGGAGGAACACCGGUGGCGAAGGCGGAUCUCUGGGCCAUUACUGACGCUGAGGAGCGAAAGCGUGGGGAGCGAACAGG